ACGGCGGACGGGUGAGUAACGCGUAGGCAACCUGCCCUUUGCACAGGGAUAGCCAUUGGAAACGAUGAUUAAAACCUGAUAACACCAUUUGGUUACAUGAGCAGAUGGUCAAAGAUUUAUCGGCAAAGGAUGGGCCUGCGUCUGAUUAGCUAGUUGGUAAGGUAACGGCUUACCAAGGCGACGAUCAGUAGCCGACCUGAGAGGGUGAACGGCCACAUUGGAACUGAGACACGGUCCAAACUCCUACGGAAGGCAGCAG
This 259-nucleotide ribosomal RNA is filed under the name uncultured bacterium. Its description in RNAcentral is "partial 16S ribosomal RNA". It matches the Rfam family "Bacterial small subunit ribosomal RNA", at positions 95 to 354 of the family's 1533-position model. The record is from RNAcentral.